AUGAGGUCUUUUUUCUCCCGCAGUGGUUAUGGGCCAGUUUCCCAUCUCUUCUUCCAAAGAGCCCAUCACUGGGUGUUCAGAGAAUCUAAUUCACGCACCAUUUGGUUUGGGAAGAAAGACCUGUGGAAGAGGCGGGGCUUUCAGCUGGAGCCUUUCUCCCAAUCCUCCCGAGCUCGCCCAAGGCUCCCCACCCACACUGGGUGGGAAAACCAUCUAGCGAGAGUUUCACCGCUCAUUUCGCAAAUGGUAAGUUCCUUCCGCCUGGUUUGCUCUGUCCUGUGUCCACGGACCCUCUCGGCCCCCGGGCCUGAUCGAGGGUCUCUAACCCUGUCAGAUGCUCCCUCUCCGUGGCAGAGGGCUGCGGGGAAGCAGCCUGGGCACGGGAGAACCUGGUCGAUCUCCCGAAACCUUGUUUUCUCCCAUAACCCAGAAGGUUUACACAACACCUUCUCUUACGUGUUCUCACUCUGCCCUCAGGCUGACCUUGAGAGCAUAUCCCCACUUUACAGAUGAGCCCCUUAAAGCCCAGAAAGGUGAACUGGGGAGUUCCCAUUGUGGUGCAGUGGUAAUGAACCCGACUCGCAUCCAUGAGGAUGCGGGUUCCAUCCCUGGCCUCGCUCAUGGGGUUAACGAUCCAGCAUUGCUGUGAGCUGUGGUGUAGGUCACAGACGUGGUUUGGAUCCCACAUUGCUGUGGCUGUGGUGUAGGCCUGCCACUGCAGCUCCAAUCGCUCCCUAGCCUGUAUGCUGCCGGUGCAGCCCUAAAAAGCAAAAAAAAACCAAAAAAAAAAAAAAAAACGGGACUUGUCUAAACCCAGGAUCCCUGGCUACAGUGUGCCUCCUGCCCAGAUAUUCAGUUGUCCUGCACCCACCUGGGGAUUCUGUUAUGACCCCUGAACCCCCACCCCCAACCUGGCCUUGGUAUCUGGCUGCCCAGACUCCUCUUCCCGCCUCUGCUCUCAGCCCCCCGUCCCAGUGGGGCCGGGUUUCUGGUGUUCUCUGAGCCUGCCAGGUGGUGGGUGGGCUUCUGGGAGACCCAGCGCCCCGCAUGGGUGUUGUAGAAUUUGUGAUGCCUGCUUGUGUGCAUUUAUCUGGGUAAGAAUCCAGUUUCGGAGUUCCCGUCGUGGCGCAGUGGUUAACGAAUCCGACUAGGAACCAUGAGGUUGCGAGUUCGAUCCCUGCCCUUGCUCAGUGGGUUAACGAUCCGGCGUUGCCGUGAGCUGUGGUGUAGGUUGCAAACGCGGCUCGGAUCCCGCGUUGCUGUGGCUCUGGUGUAGACCGGUGGCUACGGCUCCAAUUAGACCCUAGCCUGGGGACCUCCAUAUGCCGCAGGAGCGGCCCCAAGAAAUAGCAAGAAAAAAAAAAAAAGAAUCCAGUUUCAUCAGCUCCUCAAAGUCAAUGGGGUCCCCCCGCAAAAAAAAGGGUUAAAUUAAUUUCAGACAUUCGUUCCUUCCCCCAAAUGCCCUCUCCACCCCUCUCGACCCAUGUAAUGCCACGCUUCCUAAUUUUUCUUCUCUUUAAACAAAACCACCUCUGAUGUCGGGCCCAUGAAGAUUCUCCCACCCCAGUUUGUUGUUCUCUUCUUUCCAAGGAGUAAUGCAAAGAGGGAGAAGCCAGAGGGUUCCCAGGGCCGCCUGUACGUGGCCAACCAGCAGGUGAGGAGGUAUUUCAGCAGAGGGCACGACGGCCUGGGAACCUCCGCCGCUCCCUGCAGGGUUCAUGUAACUCCUCCCGUCGGCCCAGCGCGGCCUGUGACGGAUCAGGAGCACGAAGGGCUGAGGGUGUGUGUGGCUCAUGGAUACAGACACGGUCUCAGCUGAGAGAGAAAACCGGCCCCUCACCUGGCAGCACUGCGUAAUGAUAUUCCAGCUGAAAACAAAACGAGAAAAGCAGUCAAGCUUCCCCCACGCCCCAGACACCAAAACAGAACAACGCCACUGCUUAUGGGGACCUGCGGGCGGGCGGGGGUGUGAAGCUUUGUAAGCUCGGGUCUGGUUUGGGAGCUCCAGAUGAGGGGUGGGGGGUGAGGGAGUGGCCCGAGGGGGGCUCUGGCGGAGCGUGGGGGUGGGGUUCUGGCCGUGGGUGCCGGACCUCGGCCCUGACACCCUUCCAGCCUCUCAGCCUCCACGCACCCUCUCCCACGCUUUCUCACUCUUCGCCUGGAAGCGCUUCUGCUUCUCUGGGCUAGUCUGUCUUCUGAUCACGCGUGUGGGGCAAAGGGAACCGUCGUGCCCUGUUGGGGAGCUGUGAAUUAGUACAGCCACUGUGGAAGACAGAGAGGAGGGGCCUCAAGAAAUUAAUCCCAGAACCACCAGGAGUUCCCAUUGUUGCACACUGGGUUAAGGACCUGACUUAGGGUCCAUGAGGAUUCAGGUUCCAUCCCUGGCCUUGCUCAGUGGGUUGAGGAUCCCGCGUUGCCACAAGCGCUGGUGUAGGUUGCAGAGGCAGCUUGGAUCCGGUGUUUCAGAAGCUGUGGCCUAGGCCUCAGCAGCAGCUCUAAUUCAGCCCCUGGCCCAGAAACGUCCAUAUGCCUCAGGUGCAGCCAUAAAAUAAAAAAUAAAAAAAUAGAACCA
This 2572-nucleotide long non-coding RNA is filed under the name Sus scrofa (pig). RNAcentral describes it as "lncRNA (ENSSSCG00065033578.1)". The record is from RNAcentral. Lineage: Eukaryota; Metazoa; Chordata; Mammalia; Artiodactyla; Suidae.